RNAcentral lists this long non-coding RNA (821 nucleotides) under Homo sapiens (human). Its description in RNAcentral is "non-protein coding lnc-RAB1A-1:4". Lineage: Eukaryota; Metazoa; Chordata; Mammalia; Primates; Hominidae. The record is from RNAcentral.
AAUGCAAAUCAAAACCACAAUUAUAGCCACUAGGAUGGCUAUAAUAAAAAAGGUAACGUGUUGAUGAAGAUGUGGAGAAACUGGAACUCUCAUACAUGGCUGGUAAGAAUGUCAAAUGGAGGCUGGGCACAGUGGCUCACACCUGUAAUUCCAACUCUUUGGGAGGCUAACAUGGUAGGAUCGCUAGGGCCCAGCAGGUCAAGGUUGCAGUGAGCUGUGAUCGUGCCACUGCACUCCAGCUUGAGCAACAGGGUGAGACCUUGUCUCAAAAGAAAGGAAAAAGAAAAAGUAUGUCAAAUAAUACAGCCCCUUUGGAAAGCAGUCUGGAAGUUUCUCAAAAGAUUAAGCAUAAAGUUACCAUAUGACCCAGCAGUUCCACUCCUAUAUAUGUAUGCAAGGUAAAUUAAAACGUAUGUUCAUACAAAAACUUGUACAUGAUUGGUUAUUGCAGCAUUAUUCACAAGAGCCAAAAAGUGGAAACAACCCAAAUACCCAUCAACUGAUGAAUGGAUGGAGAUGGGCUGCCAUGUUGUGAGCUGCCCCAUGGGGAAGAGGCUCACAUGUGAGGAACUGAGGGAGGCCUCCAGAAAACAGCCAGUGAAGAACUGAGACCCUCAGUCCAAUAGCCUAUGAGGAACUGAAUCCUGCUGACAACCAUAUGAAUGAGCUUGGAAGCAGAUCCUUCCCCAGUGAAGCCUUCAUGUGAGACUGCAGCCCACUUGACACUUUGAUUUGUAGCUUGUGACAGACCCCAAGCCAGAAGAGUCAGGUAAGCAGUGCCUGCACUCCUGACCCAUGGCAACUGGCAUGAUAAAUGUUUU